GGGGGCGUAGCUCAGCCAGGUUAGAGCGGCUGCCUUACAAGCAGCAGGUCGCUGGUUCAAGUCCAGCCGUCCCCA
RNAcentral lists this transfer RNA (75 nucleotides) under Nitriliruptorales bacterium. Its description in RNAcentral is "tRNA-Val". It matches the Rfam family "tRNA". Rfam says of the family: Transfer RNA (tRNA) molecules are approximately 80 nucleotides in length. Their secondary structure includes four short double-helical elements and three loops (D, anti-codon, and T loops). Lineage: Bacteria; Bacillati; Actinomycetota; Nitriliruptoria; Nitriliruptorales. The record is from RNAcentral.